AAGUUUAGGUUAAACAAACCAAAGACCUUCAAAGUCUAAAAUAAGCCCGUAUCACUUAACUUCU
Molecule: transfer RNA, 64 nt
Filed under: Cyrtodactylus malayanus
Lineage: Eukaryota; Metazoa; Chordata; Lepidosauria; Squamata; Gekkonidae
Description: tRNA-Trp
Source: RNAcentral